UGUGUAGGCGGUCUGAUAAGUCAGUGGUGAAAGCCCCGGGCUUAACUCGGGAACGGCCACCGAUACUAUCGGACUUGAGGACAGAAGAGGAGGUUGGAACUUUCGGUGUAGCGGUAGAAUGCGUAGAUAUCGAAAGGAACGCCGAUAGCGAAGGCAAACCUCUGGGAUGUUUCUGACGCUGAAACACGAAAGCUGGGGGAGCAAACAGGAUUAGAUACCCUGGUAGUCCCAGCCCUAAACGAUGUACACUAGGUGUUGCUCGAAAGGGCAGUACCGAAGCUAACGCAUUAAGUGUACCGCCUGGGGACUACGGCCGCAAGGUUGAA
RNAcentral lists this ribosomal RNA (326 nucleotides) under uncultured bacterium. RNAcentral describes it as "bacterial SSU rRNA". It matches the Rfam family "Bacterial small subunit ribosomal RNA", at positions 568 to 898 of the family's 1533-position model. The record is from RNAcentral.